This 1977-nucleotide ribosomal RNA is filed under the name human metagenome. Its description in RNAcentral is "bacterial LSU rRNA". It matches the Rfam family "Bacterial large subunit ribosomal RNA", at positions 3 to 2011 of the family's 2925-position model. The record is from RNAcentral.
UCAAGUGAAUAAGAGCAUAAGGCGGAUGCCUUGGCACUGGGAGCCGACGAAGGACGUGACAAGCUGCGAUAAGCUACGGGGAGGAGCACAUAUCCGUCAAUCCGUAGAUUUCCGAAUGGGGGAACCCACCUAUAGUAAUGUGUAGGUAUUUUCGUAUGAAUCUAUAGUACGAAUAAAGGCAACCCGGGGAACUGAAACAUCUAAGUACCCGGAGGAAGAGAAAGAAAAAUCGAUUUCCUAAGUAGCGGCGAGCGAAAGGGAAAGAGGCCAAACCGUUAGUUUACUAACGGGGUUGUGGAUCACAGCCGUGGUAGAUACAAGUUUAGCAGAAGACAACUGGAAAGUUUGCGACACAGAGGGUAAUAUCCCCGUAUGCGAAAAAUGAGUAUCACCUAUGUGACACCAGAGUAGGACCGAACACGUGGAAUUCGGUUUGAAGCCGGGGGGCCCACCCCCCAAGCCUAAAUACUACCCAGUGACCGAUAGUGAAUAGUACCGUGAGGGAAAGGUGAAAAGGACCCCGGGAGGGGAGUGAAAUAGAACCUGAAACCUUAUGCUUACAAGCAGAGGGAGCGCAAGUGACCUCGUACUUUUUGUAGAACGGGCCAACGAGUUAUGGUAUGCAGCGAGGUUAAGGUGCUGGAGCACUGGAGCCGUAGAGAAAUCGAGUCUGAAAGGGCGAAAGUUGCAUGCUGUAGACCCGAAACCGGGUGAUCUAUCCAUGUCCAGGUUGAAGUAACUGUAAUAGGUUAUGGAGGACCGAACUUAUAUCUGUUGAAAAAGGUUAGGAUGAGGUGUGGAUAGGGGUGAAAUUCCAAUCGAACUCGGAUAUAGCUGGUUCUCCUCGAAAUAGCUUUAGGGCUAGCCUCGUAGUAAGAUACCUGGGGGUAGAGCACUGAAUGUUCUAGGGGCCUUCACCGGUUACCGAAAACUAUCAAACUCCGAAUACCAGAGUAUCAUCUACGGGAGUCAGACUAUGUGAGAUAAGUUUCAUAGUCGAAAGGGAAACAGCCCAGACCGUCAGCUAAGGUCCCAAAAUAUAGGUUAAGUGGAAAAGGAUGUGGGGUUGCACAGACAGCUAGGAUGUUGGCUUAGAAGCAGCCAUUCAUUCAAAGAGUGCGUAAUAGCUCACUAGUCGAGUGACCCUGCGCCGAAGAUAAACGGGGCUAAAACCUAUUACCGAAGCUACGGAUACUUAAUGUAUGGUAGAGGAGCGUCGUAUACGGGUUGAAGCAGUACUGUAAGGUAUUGUGGACUUUAUACGAGAGAGAAUGUUGGCAUGAGUAGCGCGAGGCAGGUGAGAAUCCUGCCCACCGAAAAUCUAAGGUUUCCUGAGGAAGGUUCGUCCACUCAGGGUUAGUCGGGGCCUAAGCCGAGGGCGAAAGCCAUAGGCGAUGGAUAACAGGUAGAAAUUCCUGUACCACCGAAGGUUGUUUGAAUGAUGUGGGGACACAGGAGGAUAAGCUGAGCACGCCGUUGGUAGAGCGUGUCCAAGCGUCAAGGGAGUAUGAAUAGGCAAAUCCGUUCAUAUAUAUUCUGAGGCGUGAUGGGGUGGUCAAUAGACCGGAAGCAGCUGAUUUCACACUGUCAAGAAAAGCCGCUAAUUAGACCUAAGGUGCCCGUACCGCAAACCGACACAGGUAGAUGAGGAGAGAAUCCUAAGGUGAGCGAGAGAACUAUUGUUAAGGAACUCGGCAAAAUAACCCCGUAACUUCGGGAGAAGGGGUGCCUGCUUCGGCAGGCCGCAGUGAAAAGGCCCAGGCAACUGUUUACCAAAAACACAGGUCUCUGCAAAAGCGAAAGCUGAAGUAUAGGGGCUGACGCCUGCCCGGUGCUGGAAGGUUAAGGGGACGUGUCAUCGCAAGAGAAGCACUGAACUUAAGCCCCAGUAAACGGCGGCCGUAACUAUAACGGUCCUAAGGUAGCGAAAUUCCUUGUCGGGUAAGUUCCGACCCGCACGAAAGGCGUAAUGAUUUG